AACGAACGCUGGCGGCAUGCCUAACACAUGCAAGUCGAACGAGACCUUCGGGUCUAGUGGCGCACGGGUGCGUAACGCGUGGGAACCUGCCCUUAGGCUCGGAAUAACUCCCCGAAAGGGGUGCUAAUACCGGAUAAUGUCUUCGGACCAAAGAUUUAUCGCCUUUGGAUGGGCCCGCGUUGGAUUAGCUAGUUGGUAGGGUAAAAGCCUACCAAGGCGACGAUCCAUAGCUGGUCUGAGAGGAUGAUCACACACACUGGGACUGAGACACGGCCCAGACUACUACGGGAAGCAGCAGUGGGGGAUAUUGGACAAUGGGCGAAAGCCUGAUCCAGCAAUGCCGCGUGAGUGAUGAAGGCCUUAGGGUUGUAAAGCUCUUUUACCCGGGAUGAUAAUGACAGUACCGGGAGAAUAAGCUCCGGCUAACUCCGUG
Molecule: ribosomal RNA, 433 nt
Filed under: uncultured bacterium
Lineage: Bacteria
Description: partial 16S ribosomal RNA
Rfam family: Bacterial small subunit ribosomal RNA
Source: RNAcentral